AGGUGAUGUCUUCCUUACCUUUAUCAAUGGAGGCACUCGGCUCUACUGUGGGCAGGCGUUAAUCGGCUGCCUUAGAUGCAAGUCGUCGAUGGCGGGGCGUGAGGACGGGUUAAAUGCCCA
Molecule: non-coding RNA, 120 nt
Organism: Bacillus glycinifermentans
Lineage: Bacteria; Bacillati; Bacillota; Bacilli; Caryophanales; Bacillaceae
Source: Rfam